GAUGAAGAACGUAGCGAAAUGCGAUAAGUAAUGUGAAUUGCAGAAUUCAGUGAAUCAUCGAGUCUUUGAACGCACAUUGCGCCCCCUGGUAUUCCGGGGGGCAUGCCUGUCCGAGCGUCAUUGCUGCCCUCAAGCACGGCUUGUGUGUUGGGCCUCCGUCCUCCUCCCGGGGGACGGGCCCGAAAGGCAGCGGCGGCACCGCGUCCGGUCCUCGAGCGUAUGGGGCUUCGUCACCCGCUCUUGUAGGCCCGGCCGGCGCUUGCCGACACAUCAAUCUUUUUUCCAGGUUGACCUCGGAUCAGGAAGGGAUACCCGCUGAACUUAAGCAUAUCAAUAAGCGGAGGA
This 345-nucleotide unclassified non-coding RNA is filed under the name soil metagenome. RNAcentral's name for it is "partial contains 5.8S ribosomal RNA, internal transcribed spacer 2, and large subunit ribosomal RNA". The stretch from base 1 to 120 matches the Rfam family "5.8S ribosomal RNA", at positions 35 to 154 of the family's 154-position model. The record is from RNAcentral.